Molecule: transfer RNA, 75 nt
Filed under: Hydrogenophaga sp.
Lineage: Bacteria; Pseudomonadati; Pseudomonadota; Betaproteobacteria; Burkholderiales; Comamonadaceae
Description: tRNA-Lys
Rfam family: tRNA
About the family: Transfer RNA (tRNA) molecules are approximately 80 nucleotides in length. Their secondary structure includes four short double-helical elements and three loops (D, anti-codon, and T loops).
Source: RNAcentral
GCGGGCGUAGCUCAGCGGUAGAGCAUCCGGCUUUUACCCGGUUGGUCCAUGGUUCGAAUCCAUGUGCCCGCACCA